RNAcentral lists this ribosomal RNA (914 nucleotides) under uncultured marine archaeon. Its description in RNAcentral is "bacterial SSU rRNA". It matches the Rfam family "Archaeal small subunit ribosomal RNA", at positions 1 to 922 of the family's 1478-position model. The record is from RNAcentral.
UUCCGGUUGAUCCUGCCGGACCUGACUGCUAUCGGAUUGAUACUAAGCCAUGCGAGUCAUUGUAGCAAUACAAGGCAUACGGCUCAGUAACGCGUAGUCAACCUAACCUAUGGACGGGAAUAACCUCGGGAAACUGAGAAUAAUGCCCGAUAGAACACUAUACCUGGAAUGGUUUGUGUUCCAAAUGAUUUAUCGCCAUAGGAUGGGACUGCGGCCUAUCAGUUUGUUGGUGAGGUAAUGGCCCACCAAGACUAUUACAGGUACGGGCUCUGAGAGGAGUAGCCCGGAGAUGGGUACUGAGACACGGACCCAGGCCCUAUGGGGCGCAGCAGGCGAGAAAACUUUGCAAUGUGCGAAAGCACGACAAGGUUAAUCCGAGUGAUUUGUGCUAAACGAAUCUUUUGUUAGUCCUAGAAACACUAACGAAUAAGGGGUGGGCAAGUUCUGGUGUCAGCCGCCGCGGUAAAACCAGCACCUCAAGUGGUCAGGAUGAUUAUUGGGCCUAAAGCAUCCGUAGCCGGCUCUGUAAGUUUUCGGUUAAAUCUGUACGCUUAACGUACAGGCUGCCGGGAAUACUGCAGAGCUAGGGAGUGGGAGAGGUAGACGGUACUCGGUAGGAAGGGGUAAAAUCCUUUGAUCUAUUGAUGACCACCUGUGGCGAAGGCGGUCUACCAGAACACGUCCGACGGUGAGGGAUGAAAGCUGGGGGAGCAAACCGGAUUAGAUACCCGGGUAGUCCCAGCUGUAAACUAUGCAAACUCAGUGAUGCAUUGGCUUGUGGCCAAUGCAGUGCUGCAGGGAAGCCGUUAAGUUUGCCGCCUGGGAAGUACGUACGCAAGUAUGAAACUUAAAGGAAUUGGCGGGGGAGCACCACAAGGGGUGAAGCCUGCGGUUCAAUUGGAGUCAACGCCGGG